This is a non-coding RNA of Bos taurus (domestic cattle), 56 nucleotides long. The record is from Rfam. NCBI's taxonomy places the organism in Eukaryota, Metazoa, Chordata, Mammalia, Artiodactyla, Bovidae.
UGGCUCAGGGGGUAAAGCGUCUGCCUGCAAUGCAGGAGACCUGGGUUCGAUCCCUG